ACAUACACUCAGAGACUGAAAUCAUGAAUAAGACCUCCCAUGAAAGAACAAGAAGUCUUUGGGGAGAGGAAGAGGGCACAGGGAACUGGGGAGAGAAAAAAAUGACCCUGGGCCCAAUGUGGUUGGCACAACUGGAAUCGGUGGUAGCAUGGAAAUACUGCCAGUCACAGAAGGGGAUCUGGCCCUGUUGAAGAACCAAGGACAGAAUACUCAACUCCAACACAGUCAGAAGCAAUCUGAAGAAACACAAGAGGUACAGGUAUCUAGCAUCUGGAAAAGAUCAUGUCUCAUAGGCACUUCAUGCGAAGAGGGUGUAAGUACUUCUUUGUCCUACACAUGUAACUCCAGCGGGCUAUUGGCCUUGCUCUCCAGAUAGAAGGGAUCCAUUGCCUUUAAAUUGUAACAUCAUGGAGCAAUUAAAGAGAAAAAGUCUCUAUACUGAUAAUCUGUUUCCCAAUCAUUCAGUUUUUCUGAUUGAAACUGCAAACAGUGUGUGAAAGAAUAGACUAAAGAAGAAUGCAUAGAAGGAAGUAGGAAUAAAUACAUCCAUUACACUGUCUGAACA
This 565-nucleotide long non-coding RNA is filed under the name Anser brachyrhynchus (Pink-footed goose). Its description in RNAcentral is "lncRNA (ENSABRG00000013002.1)". The record is from RNAcentral. Lineage: Eukaryota; Metazoa; Chordata; Aves; Anseriformes; Anatidae.